This 506-nucleotide ribosomal RNA is filed under the name uncultured bacterium. Its description in RNAcentral is "partial 16S ribosomal RNA". It matches the Rfam family "Bacterial small subunit ribosomal RNA", at positions 29 to 523 of the family's 1533-position model. The record is from RNAcentral.
AGUGAACGCUGGCGGUAGGCCUAACACAUGCAAGUCGAACGGCAGCACAGGAGAGCUUGCUCUCUGGGUGGCGAGUGGCGGACGGGUGAGGAAUACAUCGGAAUCUACUCUGUCGUGGGGGAUAACGUAGGGAAACUUACGCUAAUACCGCAUACGACCUACGGGUGAAAGCAGGGGAUCUUCGGACCUUGCGCGAUUGAAUGAGCCGAUGUCGGAUUAGCUAGUUGGCGGGGUAAAGGCCCACCCAGGCGACGAUCCGUAGCUGGUCUGAGAAGAUGAACAGCCACACUGGAACUGAGACACGGUCCAGACUCCUACGGGAGGCAGCAGUGGGGAAUAUUGGACAAUGGGCGCAAGCCUGAUCCAGCCAUACCGCGUGGGUGAAGAAGGCCUUCGGGUUGUAAAGCCCUUUUGUUGGGAAAGAAAUCCAGCUGGCUAAUACCCGGUUGGGAUGACGGUACCCAAAGAAUAAGCACCGGCUAACUUCGUGCCAGCCGCCGCGGUAA